GUGCACCAGUCGAGAAUCUUCGGCAAUGGGCGCAAGCCUGACCGAGCGACGCCGCGUGCGGGAUGAAGGCCUUCGGGUUGUAAUCCGCUGUCAGAGGGGAGGAAAUGGCGGCCCUCAGGGUCGUCUUGACCAAACCUCAGAGGAAGGACGGGCUAAGUUCGUGCCAGCAGCCGGGGUAAGACGAACCGUCCAAACGUUAUUCGGAAUUACUGGGCUUAAAGGGUGCGUAGGCGGCCUGGCAAGUUGGGUGUGAAAGCCCUCGGCUCAACCGAGGAAUUGCGCCCAAAACUGCUAGGCUUGAGGGAGAUAGAGGUGAGCGGAACUUGGGGUGGAGCGGUGAAAUGCAUUGAUAUCCCAAGGAACACCAGAGGCGAAAGCGGCCCACUGGGUCUCUUCUGACGCUGAGGCACGAAAGCUAGGGGAGCGAACGGGAUUAGAUACCCACGUAGUCC
RNAcentral lists this ribosomal RNA (452 nucleotides) under Planctomycete enrichment culture. Its description in RNAcentral is "bacterial SSU rRNA". It matches the Rfam family "Bacterial small subunit ribosomal RNA", at positions 346 to 796 of the family's 1533-position model. The record is from RNAcentral. Lineage: Bacteria; Pseudomonadati; Planctomycetota; Planctomycetia; Planctomycetales.